CAGAAAAUAUUUUAAUUAAAAAUAUUAAUUUUGGAAAUUAAUGAUAGGAAAAAUUUUCUUUUUCUGA
This 67-nucleotide transfer RNA is filed under the name Cladiucha punctata. RNAcentral describes it as "tRNA-Pro". The record is from RNAcentral. RNAcentral also lists the same sequence under 2 other names. Lineage: Eukaryota; Metazoa; Arthropoda; Insecta; Hymenoptera; Tenthredinidae.